AUUAAAAUGGCAGAUAAUGUGUGGAAUUUAGAAUUCCUUUAUGAAUUAAGAUCUUUUAAUU
Molecule: transfer RNA, 61 nt
Filed under: Scolopocryptops sp. 1 YG-2013
Lineage: Eukaryota; Metazoa; Arthropoda; Chilopoda; Scolopendromorpha; Cryptopidae
Description: tRNA-Leu
Source: RNAcentral